UUGACUUAUUUGUAAGUUACUCAGAGAGGCCGGUAAUAAACAAGAGUUGGGCGUCCUCCGGCGGGGGCACUAAGUACCGUCCGCCGAAGCAACGAUACGGGGUACGUUCACAAUGGUAUGUGGGAGUUUUGCAACUCAUUAAUGAUCCCUCCGCUGGUUCACCAACGGAGA
Molecule: unclassified non-coding RNA, 171 nt
Filed under: uncultured fungus
Lineage: Eukaryota; Fungi
Description: sequence contains ITS1
Source: RNAcentral